RNAcentral lists this ribosomal RNA (420 nucleotides) under uncultured bacterium. RNAcentral's name for it is "partial 16S ribosomal RNA". It matches the Rfam family "Bacterial small subunit ribosomal RNA", at positions 361 to 773 of the family's 1533-position model. The record is from RNAcentral.
AUAUUGGACAAUGGGGGCAACCCUGAUCCAGCCAUGCCGCGUGUGUGAAGAAGGUCUUCGGAUUGUAAAGCACUUCAAGUUGGGAGGAAGGGCUUUAGGUUAAUACCCUGAAUUUUUGACGUUACCAACAGAAUAAGCACCGGCUAACUCUGUCCCAGCAGCCGCGGUAAUACAGAGGGUGCAAGCGUUAAUCGGAAUUACUGGGCGUAAAGCGCGCGUAGGUGGAUCAAUAAGAUGGGUGUGAGAACCCCGGGAUUAACCUAGGAACUGCUUUCAUAACUGCUGGGCUAGAGUACGGUAGAGGGUAGUGGAAUUUCCUGUGUAGCGGUGAAAUGCGUAGAUAUAGGAAGGAACAACAGUGGCGGAGGCGACUACCUGGACUGAUACUGACACUGAGGUGCGAAAGCGUGGGGAGCAAAC